UCAUACAGCCAUGCUCCUCUUGAGCUGUUCUCAUCAGGUGGCAUAGGCUAAGUAUGGUGAGGCCUGGUCAGAAUUUGGAUGGGUGCCACUGACAGAAAACCCAGGCUGCUGCAGGAA
RNAcentral lists this ribosomal RNA (117 nucleotides) under Gopherus agassizii (Agassiz's desert tortoise). Lineage: Eukaryota; Metazoa; Chordata; Testudines; Testudinidae. The record is from RNAcentral.